CGCGGUAAUUCCAGCUCUCCUAGUGUAUCUCGUUAUUGCUGCGGUUAAAAAGCUCGUAGUUGGAUCUAGGUUACGUGCCGCAGUUCGCAAUUUGCGUUAACUGUGGUCGUGACUUCUAAUUUGCUGGUUUGAGGUUGGGUUCGCCCUUCAACUGCCAGCAGGUUUACCUUGAAUAAAUCAGAGUGCUCAAUACAGGCGCUUGCUUGAAUAGCUCAUCAUGGAAUAAUGAAACAGGACUUCGGUUCUUUUUGUUGGUUCUAGAAUUGAUCUAAUGGUUAAGAGGGACAAACCGGGGGCAUUCGUAUCAUUACGCGAGAGGUGAAAUUCGUGGACCGUAGUGAGACGCCCAAUAGCGAAAGCAUUUGCCAAGAAUGUCUUCAUUAAUCAAGAACGAAAGUCAGAGGUUCGAAGGCGAUUAGAUACCGCCCUAGUUCUGACCGUAAACGAUGCCAUCUCGCGAUUCGGAGGGUUCAUGCCCUACCGAGGAGCUACCCGGAAAACGAAAGUCUUUCGGUUCCGGGGGUAGUAUGGUUGCAAAGCUGAAACUUAAAGAAAUUGACGGAAGGGCACCCCAAGGCGUGGAGCUUGCGGCUUAAUUUGACUCAACACGGGAAAACUCACCCGGUCCGGACACUAUUAGGACUGACAGAUUGAAAGCUCUUUCUCGAUUUGGUGGUUGGUGGUGCAUGGCCGUUCUUAGUUGGUGGAGUGAUUUGUCUGGUUUAUUCCGAUAACGAGCGAGACUCUAGCCUGCUAAAUAGUCGACGAAUCUUCGGGUUCGUAUAACUUCUUAGAGGGAUAAGCGGUGUUUAGCCGCACGAGAUUGAGCGAUAACAGGUCUGUGAUGCCCUUAGAUGUCCGGGGCUGCACGCGUGCUACACUGGUGGAGUCAGCGGGUUUUUCCUAUGCCGAAAGGUAUCGGUAAACCGUUGAACUUCUUCCAUGUCCGGGAUAGGGUAUUGUAAUUAUUACCCUUAAACGAGGAAUGCCUAGUAAGUGUGAGUCAUCAGCUCACGUUGAUUACGUCCCUGCCCUUUGUACACACCGCCCGUCGCUAUCCGGGACUGAACUGAUUCGAGAAGAGUGGGGACUGUGGCUGCGAGGUUUUACCACUUCGCAGUUGCGGAAACCAUUUUUAUCGCAUUGGUUUGAACCGGGUAAAAGUCGUAACAAGGUAGCUGUAGGUGAACCUGCAGCUGGAUCAUCG
Molecule: non-coding RNA, 1207 nt
Organism: Caenorhabditis japonica
Lineage: Eukaryota; Metazoa; Nematoda; Chromadorea; Rhabditida; Rhabditidae
Source: Rfam